This 257-nucleotide unclassified non-coding RNA is filed under the name Hevea brasiliensis (rubber tree). The record is from RNAcentral. Lineage: Eukaryota; Viridiplantae; Streptophyta; Magnoliopsida; Malpighiales; Euphorbiaceae.
GUUUUAGGUCUCUAUCACUUGCAAUUAUUUAUAACAACUGUUUAGUUGGACUUUUAUUACAUUUGAAUUAACUGCUAUUUCAGACCUGUAAUAUAAAUUGAGAAAUUACAUUCGGCCUACAAAUUCUCAAAGUAUAUCUCUGCCAUGAAGUUUCUAAAAGAUAGAAAUCUUAUUCAAGCCAGCUUUCAGAUUUACAUUGUUUAUUCCACUUAGAUUUUCUAUCAAGAUGAAAGAGAUUCAUGAAAUGCUUCUAGCAG